GAAUUGCGAUAUGUAAUGUGAAUUGCAGAAUUCAGUGAAUCAUCGAAUCUUUGAACGCACAUUGCACCCUCAGGUCUUUUCCAGAGGGUAUGCCUGUUUGAGUGUCAUUAACACAUCAACGUAGACUUUGUUGUCUAUGCUUGGAGGUUGAAGGCUGCCGGCGUCAUGGCCAGCUCCUUUUAAAUUCAUUAGCGGGACUUUGAAGACUUGGCUUCAGUUUGAUAAUGCAUCUAUGCUGUCGCUUGGGAACGCUUGUCUGGCUUAAAGUUGUCCAUUGGACUGUCUCUUACGAGGCAACCUAAUCAAAUCUUGACCUCAAAUCAGGUAGGACUACCCGCUGAACUUAA
RNAcentral lists this unclassified non-coding RNA (347 nucleotides) under uncultured Agaricomycetes. RNAcentral describes it as "sequence contains ITS1". The stretch from base 1 to 107 matches the Rfam family "5.8S ribosomal RNA", at positions 50 to 154 of the family's 154-position model. The record is from RNAcentral. Lineage: Eukaryota; Fungi; Basidiomycota; Agaricomycetes.